GUGGGGAAUAUUGCGCAAUGGGCGGAAGCCUGACGCAGCGACGCCGCGUGGGGGAUGAAGGCCUUCGGGUUGUAAACCUCUUUCAGCAGGGACGAAGCGUGAGUGACGGUACCUGCAGAAGAAGCGCCGGCUAACUACGUGCCAGCAGCCGCGGUAACACGUAGGGCGCAAGCGUUGUCCGGAAUUAUUGGGCGUAAAGAGCUCGUAGGCGGUCUGUUGCGUCCGCUGUGAAAUCUCGGGGCUUAACCCCGGGCCUGCAGUGGAUACGGGCAGACUAGAGGUAGGUAGGGGAGAAUGGAAUUCCUGGUGUAGCGGUGAAAUGCGCAGAUAUCAGGAGGAACACCGGUGGCGAAGGCGGUUCUCUGGGCCUUACCUGACGCUGAGGAGCGAAAGCGUGGGGAGCGAACAGG
RNAcentral lists this ribosomal RNA (410 nucleotides) under uncultured Acidothermus sp. Its description in RNAcentral is "bacterial SSU rRNA". It matches the Rfam family "Bacterial small subunit ribosomal RNA", at positions 354 to 776 of the family's 1533-position model. Lineage: Bacteria; Bacillati; Actinomycetota; Actinomycetes; Acidothermales; Acidothermaceae. The record is from RNAcentral.